Molecule: non-coding RNA, 72 nt
Organism: Rhopilema esculentum
Lineage: Eukaryota; Metazoa; Cnidaria; Scyphozoa; Rhizostomeae; Rhizostomatidae
Source: the annotation of a RefSeq genome assembly
CAGUUCCUAGUUUCCUACCAUAUAAUAAUAAUGUUAAAGAGCUGAUUAAAGGAAGUAAAAGUAUGAGACUGU